Molecule: long non-coding RNA, 445 nt
Filed under: Phoenix dactylifera (date palm)
Lineage: Eukaryota; Viridiplantae; Streptophyta; Magnoliopsida; Arecales; Arecaceae
Description: long non-coding RNA (PDAC_LNC008577)
Source: RNAcentral
GAGCAGUCUGUACGCUCAGCUCCACCUGCCCCACGUAAGAGGAAAUGGAGGGAAAGAGGUCAAUCACAAGAUACUUUUCUACCAUCAGUACCUCGUCCUCCAGUCACUAUGGCCAGAACUGAAUCUAGGUUCCAAUCAUGGCCAGUAUGUGGCAUAUGUGGAAGCAGCACCCUGGCAGAUGCAGAAUGGGUCAGGAAGUGUGCUACAGAUGUGGACAGCCGGGUCAUUUUGCCAGAGAAUGCCCGCAGGGUGCCACCCAGCAGUUUGUGCCUUUGGCAUCAUACCCUUCUGUGCAGAUGGACAGGCCUAGUAGUAGAGAGCCUGUAGGCAAAGGCAGAGGUCAAGCACAAACAUCACAGCAGAGUGCUGGACCAUCUCAACUGUCAGCUCCAGUAGGCAGAGGGCAAGGAAGGGUGUUCACGGUAAAUCCAUAGGAGGCACAGGC